GGGAGUAUAAAAUUACUGCACUGAGAGAGAGAGCUCCACAGAGCCGACAGUCUCUUAACACACUAACCCCACACGCUAACACACUCGUGCAGCUAUUGCCAUGGUGCUGUGGGUCUUUUUGCUCUGUCUGCAGGGAUGUCUGCUCACACAUGCUCUGGACUGCACGGGCAGGAGUGUGGACUGUGUCAACACACAGGUUACAGAGGUCAAGGUUAAAGAUGAGCCCUUAUCUUCUCUGAUGAGGGCUCGAAGACAAGCUCAACUCACUCAGCGGCCUGGAUCUUAUUCAGUCAAAGGAUCUCCUAACACACUCAUCCAGCCUGACAGGUCGAGGCGACAUUUGACUACUAGUAAAAAAAAGCCCCACAGAUCUCGCAUCGGCUCUUACUCACUUCUUUCCCAUAACCACGCAACCAACCCACUGCAGGUCGUAAGUGUUCAUAGACACUUUGAGGGUGUGUCCCAUCCCAAAGUGGCUGCAUUAAAGUCUGUGAAGAAGAGAUCCAGAAGAAGUGCACCCAAGAGAAAGAAGAACGCAAGGAAUAACGCAUGCUCAUGAGAGGCUCUUUGAAGCACUUAAGCUGUACUUCAUGUUAACGUUCUAGCUCAUUUACUUAAAGAGUGCCAUGAGAUCACACAGACUCUGUGCAGAUAAUGUGAUCACAAUUAAUGACAAUAAUUGGACAGUCCCACAUUUAAUUAUCUAUUUAAUUAUCUAACAUAAACAAAAAUGACUUAAAUAUAAACAUAUAUAUAUAGCAUACUAAGCUUUGAAAUAUGCA
RNAcentral lists this long non-coding RNA (782 nucleotides) under Sinocyclocheilus grahami. Its description in RNAcentral is "lncRNA (ENSSGRG00000048064.1)". The record is from RNAcentral. Lineage: Eukaryota; Metazoa; Chordata; Actinopteri; Cypriniformes; Cyprinidae.